This 217-nucleotide unclassified non-coding RNA is filed under the name Hevea brasiliensis (rubber tree). The record is from RNAcentral. Lineage: Eukaryota; Viridiplantae; Streptophyta; Magnoliopsida; Malpighiales; Euphorbiaceae.
UCCAACGGAGCACGAGCAUGAGCGAAGGUAAAUAAGAAUAAGAGAGCAGCGACGGCGACGGAAAGUGCGACGUUUCGAGACAUCGUUGAAUUUAAUUGAAAAAGUCGAAAGGGUGAGCGAUUUAUUAUGUAGGAGGAGGAGAGGAAAGAACCACAGAGAGAGGUGACGGAGGAGGUUUGACUGAGAGAUGCCUGCUCAACAACUUCUUCAGGGCUUG